This 77-nucleotide transfer RNA is filed under the name Victivallis vadensis. RNAcentral's name for it is "tRNA-Met". It matches the Rfam family "tRNA". From Rfam's summary of the family: Transfer RNA (tRNA) molecules are approximately 80 nucleotides in length. RNAcentral also lists the same sequence under 6 other names. Lineage: Bacteria; Pseudomonadati; Lentisphaerota; Lentisphaeria; Victivallales; Victivallaceae. The record is from RNAcentral.
GGCGGCUUAGCUCAGUUGGUUAGAGCGUCGGAAUCAUAAUCCGCAGGUCCCUGGUUCGAAUCCUGGAGCCGCUACCA